RNAcentral lists this ribosomal RNA (1321 nucleotides) under Sticta duplolimbata. Its description in RNAcentral is "eukaryotic LSU rRNA". It matches the Rfam family "Eukaryotic large subunit ribosomal RNA", at positions 37 to 1375 of the family's 3401-position model. The record is from RNAcentral. Lineage: Eukaryota; Fungi; Ascomycota; Lecanoromycetes; Peltigerales; Lobariaceae.
AGCAUAUCAAUAAGCGGAGGAAAAGAAACCAACAGGGAUUGCCCCAGUAACGGCGAGUGAAGCGGCAACAGCUCAAAUUUGAAAUCUGGCCCCCUCGGGGUCCGAGUUGUAAUUUGAAGAGGGUGCUUCGGGCGCGAUGCCGGUCUAAGUUCCUUGGAACAGGACGUCGUAGAGGGUGAGAAUCCCGUAUGCGACCGGCGAUCAAGCCCGUGCGAAGCCCCUUCGACGAGUCGAGUUGUUUGGGAAUGCAGCUCAAAACGGGUGGUAAAUUUCAUCUAAAGCUAAAUAUUGGCCAGAGACCGAUAGCGGACAAGUAGAGUGAUCGAAAGAUGAAAAGCACUUUGGAAAGAGAGUCAAACAGUACGUGAAAUUGUUGAAAGGGAAGCGCUUGCAAUCAGACCGGUCCGGAGGCGAUCAGCCGCUGCUUGUCAGCGGUGCACUCGCCUGCGAUCCGGCCAGCAUCGGUUUGGGCGGCGGGAUAAAAGUCCCGGGAAUGUAGCUUCUUCCGGGGAGUCUUAUAGCCCGGGUCGCAAUGCCGCCCGCCCGGACCGAGGACCGCGCUUCGGCUAGGAUGCUGGCGUAAUGGUUGCGAGCGACCCGUCUUGAAACACGGACCAAGGAGUCUAACAUCUAUGCGAGUGUUUGGGUGUCAAACCCAGGCGCGGAAUGAAAGUGAACGGAGGUGGGAACCCGUCAGACGGCGCACCAUCGACCGAUCCAGAUGUCUUCGGAUGGAUUUGAGUAUGAGCAUAGCUGUUGGGACCCGAAAGAUGGUGAACUAUGCCCGGAUAGGGUGAAGCCAGAGGAAACUCUGGUGGAGGCUCGCAGCGGUUCUGACGUGCAAAUCGAUCGUCAAAUCUAGGCAUAGGGGCGAAAGACCAAUCGAACCAUCUAGUAGCUGGUUCCUGUCGAAGUUUCCCUCAGGAUAGCAGUAACGUUUUCAGUUUUAUGAGGUAAAGCGAAUGAUUAGAGGCCUUGGGGCUGAAACAGCCUUAACCUAUUCUCAAACUUUAAAUAUGUAAGAAGUCCUUGUUACUUAGUUGAACGUGGACAUUUGAAUGCACCGUUACUAGUGGGCCAUUUUUGGUAAGCAGAACUGGCGAUGCGGGAUGAACCGAACGCGAGGUUAAGGUGCCGGAAUGCACGCUCAUCAGACACCACAAAAAGUGUCAAUUCAUCCAGACAGCCGGACGGUGGCCAUGGAAGUCGGAAUCCGCUAAGGAGUGUGUAACAACUCACCGGCCGAAUGAAUUGGCCUUGAAAAUGGAUGGCGCUCAAGCGUGCUACCCAUACCUCGCCGCCAGGGUAGAAACGAUGCCCU